UACAGAGGGUGCAAGCGUUGUUCGGAAUUAUUGGGCGUAAAGGGCGCGUAGGCGGUGCGGUAAGUCUCUAGUGAAAUCUCCGGGCUCAACUCGGAGCCUGCUAGGGAAACUGCCGUGCUUGAGUGUGGGAGAGGUGAGUGGAAAUUCCCCGGUGUAGCGGUGAAAUGCGUAGAUAUCGGGAGGAACACCUGUGGCGAAAGCGGCUCACUGGACCACAACUGACGCUGAGGCGCGAAAGCUAGGGGAGCAAACGGGG
This 256-nucleotide ribosomal RNA is filed under the name uncultured bacterium. RNAcentral's name for it is "partial 16S ribosomal RNA". It matches the Rfam family "Bacterial small subunit ribosomal RNA", at positions 524 to 777 of the family's 1533-position model. The record is from RNAcentral.